UGGGGAAUAUUGCACAAUGGGCGCAAGCCUGAUGCAGCCAUGCCGCGUGUAUGAAGAAGGCCUUCGGGUUGUAAAGUACUUUCAGCGGGGAGGAAGGUGUUGAGGUUAAUAACCUCAGCAAUUGACGUUACCCGCAGAAGAAGCACCGGCUAACUCCGUGCCAGCAGCCGCGGUAAUACGGAGGGUGCAAGCGUUAAUCGGAAUUACUGGGCGUAAAGCGCACGCAGGCGGUCUGUCAAGUCGGAUGUGAAAUCCCCGGGCUCAACCUGGGAACUGCAUUCGAAACUGGCAGGCUAGAGUCUUGUAGGGGGGGGUAGAAUUCCAGGUGUAGCGGUGAAAUGCGUAGAGAUCUGGAGGAAUACCGGUGGCGAAGGCGGCCCCCUGGACAAAGACUGACGCUCAGGUGCGAAAGCGUGGGGAGCAAACA
This 427-nucleotide ribosomal RNA is filed under the name uncultured bacterium. RNAcentral's name for it is "partial 16S ribosomal RNA". It matches the Rfam family "Bacterial small subunit ribosomal RNA", at positions 355 to 774 of the family's 1533-position model. The record is from RNAcentral.